GGCUGUCAAAAUGCACAAUGGGGAGAAACCUGGGACAAGAAGAAUGUAAAAAGGACUAUUUCUGGCCUGAAUAGAAGUUGCAGGUUUACACUGAGGCUUAGCUCUUCUAGAUUUUUUUAUUGCUGUGGAAAAACUGAAGUGCUAAAACCUUGUGUGUGUGGCUACAGGACAUCAGGAUAAAUCAGCAGAUAACAGGUCACACGGAAGGCGACUGUGCGGAGCUGCCUGACAGGGCAGGUGCAGAGAGCAACGGAGAGGGAGUGUUUCAGCCCAGCAGCUAACCGGCCUCGCUGCGUCUCUGCCGAAGCAGUAAGUGA
Molecule: long non-coding RNA, 317 nt
Filed under: Apteryx rowi (Okarito brown kiwi)
Lineage: Eukaryota; Metazoa; Chordata; Aves; Apterygiformes; Apterygidae
Description: lncRNA (ENSARWG00000000833.1)
Source: RNAcentral